ACAAAAACAUUUUUUCAAUAAUUAAUGAGAUAUAAUCUGCUCAAUGUAAAAAUAUAAAUAGCCGCAGAUUUUAAACUGUGCUAAGGUAGCAUAAUAAUUUGUUUUUUAAUUAAAAACUUGUAUGAAUGAUUUAACAAAAUGAAAACUUUUUUUAAAAUUAACAUUAAACUUUACUUUAUAGUGAAAAGGCUUUAAUAGUUAAAUAGGACGAGAAGACCCCAAAAUUUUUAUAUGAUAAAAAAAAUAUUAAAUAUUUUUAAGUAAUAAUUUUCAUAUUUAGUUGGGGCAACUUUUAGAUAUUAAAUUAAAACUAUAUUAAACUUAUAAAUUCUAAAUAAUAAUAUUUAUAAACUCUUUGAGGUUUUAUAGUAUAAUCCAAUGUAAUUGAAAUAAUGUAAAAAUACUUUGGGGAUAACAGUGUAAUUUUUUUUUAAGAUCUUAUUAAUAAUUAAGUUUGCAACCUCGAUGUUGGAUUAAGGUUAAACAUUGGAAGUACAUAUUAAUUUUUAUUGAUCUGUUCGAUCAUUAGUUCCUUACAUGAUCUGAGUUCAAAUCGGCGUAAGCCAGAUUGGUUUCUAUCCUUUUAAUAAACAUUAUUACUAUAGU
RNAcentral lists this ribosomal RNA (606 nucleotides) under Lernaeodiscus ingolfi. RNAcentral describes it as "partial large subunit ribosomal RNA". The record is from RNAcentral. Lineage: Eukaryota; Metazoa; Arthropoda; Thecostraca; Lernaeodiscidae.